Malus domestica (apple) is the source of this 955-nucleotide non-coding RNA. The record is from RefSeq and is a predicted model, not a curated record. Lineage: Eukaryota; Viridiplantae; Streptophyta; Magnoliopsida; Rosales; Rosaceae.
UGUUUAUGAAACUUAACGGUACUGCACCACUGUGUUGUGUUUGUCACCUGGCCCACUCUGUUUUCUUCCCCUUUUCUUUCUUCUUUUCCUUUUCCCACGUGAACACUCCAGAACUCUCUCUCUCUUUUCGAACUCUCUGCCUUCUCUCUAAACCACCAUAUCCAAAAAGAACUCCAAGCACCAUCACCACAAAUUCUAAUUUAAUUGAGACCCCAAACCACCAAAAUACAAGACCUAUGCAAGCUGGGGAUAACUAUGGUACCAUUGCAUGUUAAAUUUGGUAAUGGGAAGUAGGAUAAUCCAAGCAGGGGUUCUCGGUGAGAGUUGCUCUAAUGGAAUCAAGCUACAACCCUUGAAAAGAGGAGUUUUAGGUGGACCACCCUCCUACGUUCCAGUGUGACUGCUUCAGGAGCUACAUGAGUUUUUGGGCACGGUAGGACGCUUCGUCGAACCGGCAACUGAUCCAUGAAAUCCUGGAGGCUUAUAAGGAGAGGUUGGCGGAGAAGAAGAGGAGCAGAAACUCAAAGGUGAAGAAAGAGAGAAGGAAGGCUAACAAGGGCAGUGGACGGCGUCGCUGGCUCUGAUCCUCUUGUUCCUUGUUGCUAAGCUCGUCGCCAUGGCGGUUGCUGGCCGGCAAUCGGAGGUGAAGUUCGGGGAGGGUGGGGAUGCCGACAGUGAAGGAGUUGGUGCAGAGGAGGUGAGCUUCGAAGAGAAGAGGCUGAAGCACCGAACUUCUGUUAUGUAUUUUUCUUUUUUUUUGCUCUUGCCCUUAUCAUUAAAUAAAGUUAGUAGAUAACAGUAGCCAUUGGCUUGCACGGAGAGGGAGGUGUCCCACGUGGGCGGAUCCCAGGGCACACAGCUCAACAAAUAAUAAAAUAAUUCAAAUAACGUAUUGUGAUUUGUAAUAUUCAUUUUUAUUAUUAAAUGAAAAAUUUUAAGUUUGAUUGUCAUUAAA